Molecule: ribosomal RNA, 1387 nt
Filed under: uncultured Basidiomycota
Lineage: Eukaryota; Fungi; Basidiomycota
Description: eukaryotic LSU rRNA
Rfam family: Eukaryotic large subunit ribosomal RNA (bases 951-1387)
Source: RNAcentral
CUUGGUCAUUUAGAGGAAGUAAAAGUCGUAACAAGGUUUCCGUAGGUGAACCUGCGGAAGGAUCAUUAUCGAAAUUGGAGAAAGGGGGGGGGAAGAUGGGGAAGGGUAGACUGUCGCUGGCUUCAGAGCGAUCUGGAGCAUGUGCACGUCUCUCUUUUCGUCNACCCUCUCUAACACACACACACACCUGUGCACCCUUUGUAGGUCCUCGAGAGAGGGUCUAUGUUUUCUACAUCACACCUAAUGUAUGGCUACAGAAUGUAUCUAGACUGUCGCUCGACCCUGGUCGGGUGGUGGUCGAAUAAAUAAAUACAACCUUCAGCAACGGAUCUCUUGGCUCUCGCAUCGAUGAAGAACGCAGCGAAUUGCGAUAAGUAAUGUGAAUUGCAGAUUUUCAGUGAAUCAUCGAAUCUUUGAACGCACCUUGCGCUCCUUGGUAUUCCGAGGAGCAUGCCUGUUUGAGUGUCAUUCGAAUUCUCAACCAUGUCUUGUAGUGAGGCUUGGCUUGGAGUUGGGGGUUGCUGGCGGCGAAGGUCGUCGGCUCUCCUGAAAAGUAUUANCAAAGGGCANCAAGUCUCUGACGUGGCACGGCCUCUUCGACGUGAUAGCGAUCGUCGUGGGCUGGAAGCGUUGGGGACUGCAUGGAUUGUCUUGUUUGCUUCCAAUAUAUCCCCUCACAUCAAGACUUUGAGACUCGAGCGAAGGUUGGCUUAGCUAUUAGUUUGGUCGUGAGGCCAUCGAACGCGGUCCGCUGGGUUUCGAGCUCUCAGGGACUCGAGCGAAAGGUUGGCUUAKCUAUUAGUCGGUCGUGAGGCCGGGCGAACGCGGUCGGGCUGGGUUUCGAGUUCGGGGACUCGAGGAAAGGGUCGGCUUAGCUAUUAGUUGGUCGCGAGGCCAGCGAACGCGGUCGGGCUGGAUUUCGAGUUCCAGGUCUCGUUCUUUUGACACCUUGACCUCAAAUCAGGUAGGGCUACCCGCUGAACUUAAGCAUAUCAAUAAGCGGAGGAAAAGAAACUAACAAGGAUUCCCCUAGUAACUGCGAGUGAAGCGGGAAGAGCUCAAAUUUUGAAUCUGGCGGUCGUUUCGGCCGUCCGAGUUGUAAUCUAGAGAAGCGUCUUCCGCGCUGGCCCGUGUACAAGUCUCCUGGAAGGGAGCGUCAUAGAGGGUGAGAAUCCCGUCUUUGACACGGACUACCAGUGCUAUGUGAUGCGCUCUCGACGAGUCGAGUUGUUUGGGAAUGCAGCUCAAAACGGGUGGUAAACUCCAUCUAAAGCUAAAUACAGGCGAGAGACCGAUAGCGAACAAGUACCGUGAGGGAAAGAUGAAAAGAACUUUGGAAAGAGAGUUAAACAGUACGUGAAAUUGCUGAAAGGGAAACGCUUGAAGU